Molecule: non-coding RNA, 1411 nt
Organism: Delphinapterus leucas (beluga whale)
Lineage: Eukaryota; Metazoa; Chordata; Mammalia; Artiodactyla; Monodontidae
Source: RefSeq, a predicted model, not a curated record
AAGGAAGGUUAAAUCUUGUUCUCCAUGGCUCAUAAGGAAUCCAAGAUUGCUCUUGCUUGCAUGGAUCCCUGGACCUCUCAUCAAAGAUGAAGGUGAAGUUUUUCAAAACUGCAAGAAAGUUCUAUAUUUCAUGGACACCUAUCAGUCAUCACAUUUUCUUUAUCAUUUCACCCCCAGUAUAAAUGUGUGUAUAUAUUUAUUUAUUGACAAAUGCAUACACUUUGGCUUUUUCUUGUUUGGGAUGACUUGAAAUAAAGUCGGUGUUCAUCUGAGUCACCCAGUAUAUUUCACCAGAGAUGUUGUCCUUCUUGAUCCGGUGGAGACACACCUUUCCUGGAAGAGUUUAUUUAUGGAGAGUUAAACUUGGGAAGGAUGAAGGAGGUAGCAUGGCAGAGGGACUAUUCAAUAAACAAAGCUAGAAAAAGUGGGUUUUCCAUAUUAAAAAAAAUGAAAUUAGAUCUCUAUUUCAUAGCACGCAAAUAAGUUAACUCCAGAUGGAUUAAGUAAGGACUUAGUGGUCAAAAGCUGAACUUUAAACUUUUUAUAAGAAAAUAAAGAUUCAUAUCUUUCUGACUUUGAGGAAGGAAUUUCUUAUUUUUUUUAUUUUUAUUUUUUGGCCACACUGCAAAGCAUGCGGAAUCUUAGUUCCCUCACCAAGGAUUGAACCCACGCCCCCUGCACUGGAAGCAUGGAGUCUUAACCAUUGGACCACCAGAUACUGUGUUUUUUACAAAUUGAAGGUUUCUGGCAAUCCUGCAUCGAGCAAGUCCAUUGGCGUCAUUUUCCAACACUUUGCUCACUUCACAUCUCUGUGUCACAUUUUGGUUCAACAAAUUCAAAGGGAGACAGUCCAAGCUGCUUUGGUCCUCCUGGUGUCAGGGACCCAGGUUCUUUCCAUCUUAGCUCUACUCUAUGGGUGGCUUGUGGCUCCUAUUUUUGAGACUCCUCAUGGGCUCAAUAUGACUGCUGGAGCUCCAGUCAUUAUGUCUGCAUUUCAGCCAGUAAGAAAGAGGAAGCGUGAAGAAUGACACAUCCCUUCCUUUUAAGGCCAUUUAAAUCAAGUGACAAGAUAUAAAGCACAUCUCUGUUUUCCGUUUUUUGUUGGUUUUUUUUUUUGCAACUACAUCAGCAAACAAACAAAAAAAAAUGUCUUUUGGUUUUGGAAUAGUGUGUAAAGAGACGGUCUGGAAGAGAUGAACUAUCUUUUAGGGAUGAACAAUCUUGCCUAACUGAGCCUCUCUGGUCUACCAGAAUGCCAGAUUUUAAAUCUCUUAUUGGUUAGUUAUUUUGGAAACAUUCUCAUUUUAGAAGCCUGUUUACUUCAGGAUUCUUAUUUAAAAUGGCUACUUUACACUAGAAGUAUCCCUAAUAAAAUGGCCAAAGUAAACUUUCACUGGAAAGUAUACCUGCA